CAAAGAAUAGUUUAAGUAAAAUUUUAAUUUUGGAGAUUAAUGAUAGGAAUUAUCUUUUCUUUGA
RNAcentral lists this transfer RNA (64 nucleotides) under Pselaphinae sp. 2 EF-2015. RNAcentral describes it as "tRNA-Pro". Lineage: Eukaryota; Metazoa; Arthropoda; Insecta; Coleoptera; Staphylinidae. The record is from RNAcentral.